Molecule: ribosomal RNA, 253 nt
Filed under: uncultured bacterium
Lineage: Bacteria
Description: partial 16S ribosomal RNA
Rfam family: Bacterial small subunit ribosomal RNA
Source: RNAcentral
UACGUAGGGUGCAAGCGUUGUCCGGAAUUAUUGGGCGUAAAGAGCUCGUAGGCGGUCUGUCACGUCGGCUGUGAAAUCCCGAGGCUCAACCUCGGGUCUGCAGUCGAUACGGGCAAACUAGAGUAUUGCAGGGGAGACUGGAAUUCCUGGUGUAGCGGUGAAAUGCGCAGAUAUCAGGAGGAACACCGGUGGCGAAGGCGCCGCUCUGGGCCGAAACUGACGCUGAGGAGCGAAAGCAUGGGUAGCAAACAGG